CAACCUGCCGAUGACUCGGGGAUAGCCUUUCGAAAGAAAGAUUAAUACCCGAUGGCAUAGUUCUUCCGCAUGGUGGAACUAUUAAAGAAUUUCGGUCAUCGAUGGGGAUGCGUUCCAUUAGGUUGUUGGCGGGGUAACGGCCCACCAAGCCUUCGAUGGAUAGGGGUUCUGAGAGGAAGGUCCCCCACAUUGGAACUGAGACACGGUCCAAACUCCUACGGGAGGCAGCAGUGAGGAAUAUUGGUCAAUGGACGAGAGUCUGAACCAGCCAAGUAGCGUGAAGGAUGACUGCCCUAUGGGUUGUAAACUUCUUUUAUACGGGAAUAAAGUGAGGCACGUGUGCCUUUUUGUAUGUACCGUAUGAAUAAGGAUCGGCUAACUCCGUGCCAGCAGCCGCGGUAAUACGGAGGAUCCGAGCGUUAUCCGGAUUUAUUGGGUUUAAAGGGAGCGUAGGCGGACGCUUAAGUCAGUUGUGAAAGUUUGCGGCUCAACCGUAAAAUUGCAGUUGACACUGGGUGUCUUGAGUACAGUAGAGGCAGGCGGAAUUCGUGGUGUAGCGGUGAAAUGCUUAGAUAUCACGAAGAACUCCGAUUG
This 594-nucleotide ribosomal RNA is filed under the name uncultured Bacteroidota bacterium. RNAcentral describes it as "bacterial SSU rRNA". It matches the Rfam family "Bacterial small subunit ribosomal RNA", at positions 122 to 715 of the family's 1533-position model. The record is from RNAcentral. Lineage: Bacteria; Pseudomonadati; Bacteroidota.